GCAUGCCGGUGGCAAUGGUAAAUGCGAUGAAUGUGCUCGCGUCCUGCUGGGUGUGCGGCUGUGGUGGUAUACAUUCUUACUCAGUUUAUCUGAUGCACGC
This 100-nucleotide small nucleolar RNA is filed under the name Leersia perrieri. RNAcentral describes it as "snoRNA snoZ188". It matches the Rfam family "Small nucleolar RNA Z188". Rfam says of the family: Z188 is a member of the C/D class of snoRNA which contain the C (UGAUGA) and D (CUGA) box motifs. Most of the members of the box C/D family function in directing site-specific 2'-O-methylation of substrate RNAs. The record is from Rfam by way of RNAcentral. Lineage: Eukaryota; Viridiplantae; Streptophyta; Magnoliopsida; Poales; Poaceae.